This 253-nucleotide ribosomal RNA is filed under the name uncultured bacterium. Its description in RNAcentral is "partial 16S ribosomal RNA". It matches the Rfam family "Bacterial small subunit ribosomal RNA", at positions 524 to 776 of the family's 1533-position model. The record is from RNAcentral.
UACGUAGGGUGCAAGCGUUAAUCGGAAUUACUGGGCGUAAAGCGUGCGCAGGCGGUGAUGUAAGACAGUUGUGAAAUCCCUCGGCUUAACCGGGGAACUGCGUCUGAUACUGGAUGGCUUGAGUUCGGGAGAGGGAUGCGGAAUUCCAGGUGUAGCGGUGAAAUGCGUAGAUAUCUGGAGGAACACCGGUGGCGAAGGCGGCAUCCUGGACCGAGAUUGACGCUGAUGCGCGAAAGCCAGGGGAGCAAACGGG